GCCUUCAUGAAGCCGGAAUUGCUAGUAAUGGCAGGUCAGCAUACUGCCGUGAAUACGUUCCCGGGCCUUGUACACACCGCCCGUCACACCAUGAGAGUUGGGGAUACCCGAAGCCUGUGAGCUAACUUUUAGAGGCAGCAGUCGAAGGUAGAAUCAAUGAUUGGGGUGAAGUCGUAACAAGGUACC
This 186-nucleotide ribosomal RNA is filed under the name uncultured bacterium. RNAcentral describes it as "partial 16S ribosomal RNA". It matches the Rfam family "Bacterial small subunit ribosomal RNA", at positions 1314 to 1500 of the family's 1533-position model. The record is from RNAcentral.